AAGCCGUUAUGUGGCCAAUCUCUUACCAGCCUCUUAAACCUCGCCCAGGCGUCACUAAGCAAUUCAUCAAUAUCCUGUUCGAAAUUAGUGAUCAACUUUCUUCUUCU
Small nucleolar RNA from Benincasa hispida (wax gourd), 107 nucleotides. The record is from RefSeq and is a predicted model, not a curated record. NCBI's taxonomy places the organism in Eukaryota, Viridiplantae, Streptophyta, Magnoliopsida, Cucurbitales, Cucurbitaceae.